UGGGGAAUUUUGCACAAUGGGCGCAAGCCUGAUGCAGCGACGCCGCGUGCGGGAAGAAGGCCUUAGGGUUGUAAACCGCUUUCAAUUGGGAAGAAGAGAAGAGAGUUAAUAACUUUCUGAUUUGACGGUACCUUUAGAAGAAGCACCGGCUAAUUUCGUGCCAGCAGCCGCGGUAAUACGAAAGGUGCAAGCGUUGUUCGGAUUUACUGGGCGUAAAGAGAUCGUAGGUGGUUUGUUAAGUUGGAUGUGAAAUCCCGGGGCUCAACCUCGGAACUGCAUCCAAAACUGGCAGACUAGAGUUCGGGAGGGGUAAGCGGAAUUCCGUGUGUAGCAGUGAAAUGCGUAGAUAUACGGAGGAACACCAGAGGCGAAGGCGGCUUACUGGACCGAUACUGACACUGAGGAUCGAAAGCGUGGGUAGCAAACA
RNAcentral lists this ribosomal RNA (427 nucleotides) under uncultured Zetaproteobacteria bacterium. Its description in RNAcentral is "bacterial SSU rRNA". It matches the Rfam family "Bacterial small subunit ribosomal RNA", at positions 355 to 774 of the family's 1533-position model. Lineage: Bacteria; Pseudomonadati; Pseudomonadota; Candidatius Mariprofundia. The record is from RNAcentral.